UUGUUGAAAUUCAAAAUUAACGGCGGCGGCUGUUGUGUUAGGAAAAGCAACAGAGAAAGGGUGAUCUCCAAUAGGCCCAGCAGGUGGCACUGUUCCCUAGAACAGUGCAAGAACACAGGUAGGUAUCCACAGUUCCCUCUGGUGGACACUAGUCGCAGUUGCAGCCCCACAGGUAAGUAUAUACAGUGUCCUAGUUUUUGCUGCCCUCAAUGCAUUAGCAAUUUGUAAUCCUUUGUCUGCUUUUACAGGGUCCUUAAUUUUCCCUGCUGGAGGAGUGGCUGGCUGUUGACCACUCUGUCCCUGGAGCUGUGCUUUUUUUUAACAGCCAGCCUGGUGUGCUCACAAAUUAAUAAACAGUUUGCAACACGUUUGCUUCUGUGUGUUUGUUGAAAACCAAAUAACAACAGUCCUUAAACACUGUGACUUUUGGGCGUUUGUUUGAGUUCACUCAUGACUCGCUCCCUGCGUGUAAAGCCCUGGCUGCACACAUGCACAGGGGCAUCAAAGUAUUCAGAGUCCCGGUACUGCUUUAAACACAGCGUUUCUUCACCUGCUCAAUGUUCUCAUCAGUAAUUUAAAACACUGUUCUGUAUUUUAUUUUUGACUACCACAGGAUAUUUUAAAAUCACACAUUUCCGCUGUCAUGGCGAGCAGUGCAGAUUGUAAUUCCACUCGGCUGUACCGAUACUCCCACAAACUCACUGUUAGGUUAGUCCCGAUCCAGUUCACUAGAGAAAUCAGGUUUUACUCAGCGGUGAAAACUUUCUUUUCACUUCACAGAAACAGAAAGUAGUUUAAAUUCUGUUUACCUCUCGAAUGCUGCUAUCCAAGCUUACUGUCACUACCUUCUGUUUGUGUUGUGAGCCCAACACUUUGAUUCCUGAUUUAUUUUUAUUUAUUUAUUUUUAUUUAUUUAUGAUUGGUUAAAUCUCCCUAUUGUCCUAAUGAAUUCCCCUAUAUAUCUGACCCUACCCUUAUCUAUUGUAUUACCACCCCCUAUGCCACCCCUAAAAACAUUAUUCUGAAUACUCAAAGCCCUCAACUCUUCCCCUACCUCUAAUCUCACUUCCCUAUAUCUAGCACAUUCAACCAUCAUGUGUUCCACAGUUUCCAUAACCCCGCAUCUCACACAUAACCCAUCCUCAUGCGCUCCAAUUCUAUAGAAAUGUUCAUUUCCCUCUUACGCCCUCUAGUCCCGCGGGCGGAACACGGAACUGCAUGUAAACAUUAUAUUUCAUAACUCAUUUGUAAUAUUAUUACAAAAGCAAAAGAGAAAAAAAAGCUGACUCAAUAUCAAAAUCGUUGUUUUCCUACCGUCAAACCGCGAAGGAAUUUUUCGAAUCCGUCAUUUCACCGCUGAGAUAUCCCAUUCACAAUGUGUCUAUUACCCCCAUGCUACCAAAACAACUGCGAUCGACUAGCUUGCGUUUUGCUGCUCUGGUCUUACAACCUUGAUGACGGUGAAGUCUCCCUGAUCACGUUGUAGGGGAGGUCACAAGCGUUCCAUUCAUACAGGGAACCAGGGAGAGAGGCAGAUAGAUAAGUUCCUGCUUUUUGUAAUUGUAACUACUACAUUUGGUGACAUUGUAAGGUGGUGUUUGAAUUGGCUGAGUUUGUGUGUGAUUAGUACCAGGUGAGUGGCUAAAUUGAUUAGCAGUUGAUUUUGCUAUUUGAUUGGUUUCCACACAGUUUAGUUGGUUCUUUUGCCAAGCAGGGGUAACAACAUUUAUUCAAGCAGCUUAUUUUAGCGCCAGCACGAAGCGCCAGCCAACAGAAGAGCCUCAACAAAAGAGCCGGGAGUCUAGCUGUGGGAGUCUACAGGUAACCAGGUAACCAGGUAACCAGCAUCUGAAGCAAGAUAGGUAUUUGAUCCUGCUCCUAGUAAUUUUUCCAUUAACUAUAUAGUAUCAUUAUCUGGUGUUUCUAAUUGGGGAGGAGUGUGUGAUUUUAUCCCAGGCAGUGUGCUUAUUUUGAGUACUUAAUUUGUAAUUUGUAAAUUUGAAUCAGGGUGGGUUAACUUGAUUAGAGCAGUUUGCAUUUGAAUUGGUCUCCACACAGCUCCUGCAGUUGUGUGAUCCCAUCAAAGUGUGUGAAACUAUUGUCUCCAGAGCAGUUAGCAGCUAGUUCCCUUGCUAAGUGAAGGGAGUUAUUUAAGAGUGGGCAUCUGGUAAUUGGUUCAGUCUACAGGGAACCAGGGAGAGAGGCAGAUAGAUAAGUUCCUGCUUUUUGUAAUUGUAACUACUACAUUUGGUGACAUUGUAAGGUGGUGUUUGAAUUGGCUGAGUUUGUGUGUGAUUAGUACCAGGUGAGUGGCUAAAUUGAUUAGCAGUUGAUUUUGCUAUUUGAUUGGUUUCCACACAGUUUAGUUGGUUCUUUUGCCAAGCAGGGGUAACAACAUUUAUUCAAGCAGCUUAUUUUAGCGCCAGCCAACAGAAGAGCCUCAACAAAAGAGCCGGGAGUCUAGCUGUGGGAGUCCAGCGAGGGGAGGCCUGCGCUGAGACGCUGUUCCAAUAGAUCCAAACCUAACAGCGCUCUAGAAGAAGCCAUCUACUAGUCAGCUAAGAACCUUGGAGUCACCCUGGACCCCUGCCUCUCUUAUUCCCAGCACAUCUCCACUCUGGCACGCACUUGCAGAUUCUUCCUGAGCAACAUCCGAAGAAUCCGACCCUUCCUCACCAACUAUGCUACCCAGCUCCUGGUCCAGGCCCUGGUACUCUCCCGCCUAGACUACUGCAACUCCCUCCUGGCUGGCCUCCCUGCGUCCGCCACCCGUCCGCUCCAGCUCAUCCAGAACUCUGCUGCUCGCCUGGUGUUCUCUCUGCCUCGCUUCGCCCACGCUACUCCACUACUCCGCUCGCUCCACUGGCUCCCGAUCACCGCUCGCAUCCAGUUCAAGACUCUUGUACUAGCCUACAGAUGCCUUGAUCAGACUGCACCCAGCUACCUCCAGACCCUCAUCUCUCCCUACACCCCCACUCGACCUCUCCGCUCCGCCUGCACUAGAAGACUGGCUCUACCUCCGCUACGCUCCCCUGCCUCCCGAGCCCGCUCCUUCUCCACCCUUGCUCCGCAGUGGUGGAACGACCUUCCUACAGAUGUCAGGACUGCCCAGUCCCUGACCACAUUCCGGCGCCUCCUUAAGACUCACCUCUUCAAACAGCACCUGUAGAACUCCUCUGUUGUAUCCUGGGACACUAUCACCCUUCAUUUAAAUAUGCUUUAUUUUGCUCUUAUCUGCCCCCUAUUUUACUGCAUUUAAUCCUGUACCUCAGAAUAUUGUAAUCUGCCAAGUGUUUAAUCUGUAGUAUUUUGUACUUAAUCAUAUCCUGAUGUAACUAUCACUCUUUAAUCAUAUCCUGAUGUAACUUUCAUUUAUCUGCUGUAU
This is a long non-coding RNA of Acipenser ruthenus (sterlet), 3385 nucleotides long. RefSeq lists it as uncharacterized. The record is from RefSeq and is a predicted model, not a curated record. Lineage: Eukaryota; Metazoa; Chordata; Actinopteri; Acipenseriformes; Acipenseridae. The transcript has 3 exons.